AAUGGGGAAACCCAUCUAGUUAUGCUAGAUACUGUAUACUGAAUACAUAGGUAUAUGGAGGUACACCUGGGGAACUGCAACAUCUAAGUACCCAGAGGAAGAGAAAGAAAAUUCGAUUCCCUAAGUAGCGGCGAGCGAAAGGGGAAGAGCCCAAACCAGGAACUUGUUCCUGGGGUUGCGGAUAGAUUAUAACGCUUUGAUUUCUUUAGUUGAAGAGAACUGGAAAGUUCCGUCGUAGAAGGUAAUAACCCUGUAGGCGAAAAGGAAAGAAAAGUAGAUCUACUCCAGAGUACCACGAGACACGUGAAACCUUGUGGGAAGCUGGGAGGACCAUCUCCCAAGGCUAAAUACUACCUAGUGACCGAUAGUGAAGCAGUACCGUGAGGGAAAGGUGAAAAGAACCCCGGAAGGGGAGUGAAAUAGAAUCUGAAACCGUGUGCCUACAAUCGGUCGGAGCACAUUAAAGUGUGACGGCGUACUUUUUGUAGAACGGGCCAGCGAGUUACGAUAUAUAGCAAGGUUAAGCACUUAUGGUGUGGAGCCGAAGGGAAACCGAGUCUGAAUAGGGCAACUAGUUGUAUAUUGUAGACCCGAAACCGGGUGACCUAUCCAUGGCCAGGAUGAAGCGGAAGUAAAAUUCCGUGGAGGUCCGAACCACGUUGGUGUUGAAAAACCAUGGGAUGAGCUGUGGAUAGCGGAGAAAUUCCAAUCGAACUCGGAGAUAGCUGGUUCUCCUCGAAAUAGCUUUAGGGCUAGCGUCGGGUAAUUGAGUAGUGGAGGUAGAGCACUGAAUGGGCUAGGGGCUGACAACAGUUACUGAACCCUAUCAAACUCCGAAUGCCAUAUACUUGUACCCCGGCAGUCAGACUACGAAUGAUAAGAUCCGUGGUCAAAAGG
This 897-nucleotide ribosomal RNA is filed under the name Clostridium botulinum C. Its description in RNAcentral is "partial 23S ribosomal RNA". It matches the Rfam family "Bacterial large subunit ribosomal RNA", at positions 117 to 1018 of the family's 2925-position model. Lineage: Bacteria; Bacillati; Bacillota; Clostridia; Eubacteriales; Clostridiaceae. The record is from RNAcentral.